GAUCAUGGCUCAGGAUGAACGCUAGCGACAGGCUUAACACAUGCAAGUCGAGGGGCAGCACGGGAGUAGCAAUACAACUGGUGGCGACCGGCGCACGGGUGAGUAACGCGUAUGCAACCUACCUAUCAGAGGGGAAUAACCCGGCGAAAGUCGGACUAAUACCGCAUAAAACAGGGGCACCGCAUGGUGAUAUUUGUUAAAGAGAUUCGCUGAUAGAUGGGCAUGCGUUCCAUUAGGUAGUUGGUGAGGUAACGGCUCACCAAGCCGACGAUGGAUAGGGAACUGAGAGGUUGGUCCCCCACACUGGUACUGAGACACGGACCAGACUCCUACGGGAGGCAGCAGUGAGGAAUAUUGGUCAAUGGGCGGGAGCCUGAACCAGCCAAGUCGCGUGAAGGAAGAAGGAUCUAUGGUUCGUAAACUUCUUUUGCAGGGGAAUAAAGUGCAGGACGUGUCCUGUUUUGUAUGUACCCUGAGAAUAAGGAUCGGCUAACUCCGUGCCAGCCGCCGC
This 511-nucleotide ribosomal RNA is filed under the name uncultured bacterium. Its description in RNAcentral is "bacterial SSU rRNA". It matches the Rfam family "Bacterial small subunit ribosomal RNA", at positions 15 to 518 of the family's 1533-position model. The record is from RNAcentral.